GACGGGGGGUCCUAGCGUUGUUCGGAAUUAUUGGGCGUAAAGCGUGUGCAGGUGGCUUGGAAAGUUGGGUGUGAAAUCCUUGGGCUUAACUCAAGAAGUGCAUUCAAAACUGUCAAGCUUGAAUAUGGAAGAGGGUCGCGGAAUUCCUGGUGUAGUGGUGAAAUACGUAGAUAUCAGGAGGAACACCGGCGGCGAAGGCGGCGACCUGGUCCAAUAUUGACACUCAUACACGAAAGCGUGGGGAUCAAACAGG
RNAcentral lists this ribosomal RNA (253 nucleotides) under uncultured bacterium. RNAcentral's name for it is "partial 16S ribosomal RNA". It matches the Rfam family "Bacterial small subunit ribosomal RNA", at positions 524 to 776 of the family's 1533-position model. The record is from RNAcentral.